GGAAAUAAAAUUCUUUCUGCUAUAUUUCGUAUGUAUUGGGGAAUGAAAAGUAAUAAUAAGUAGUUGAUGAAAAGUAAUAAUAAGUAGUUGAUUUCUUGUAUUUGUUUUCCGUGUAUCGUGUAUUGCGUAUCGCGUAUCGAUAGUGCCAUGCUGUUAUCUUUCGGCGAAAAUUAACGAUUAAGCAAAACAUAUGGUUAAGCACUUGUGGUUAUACGCACGAUUGGUGAGUGAAGGUGCGCUAAUAGUUGGAUUCAUCGAGUAUUGGUGACGUGACGAUAAAGAGAUUGAAGAAUGAAGAGAAACCAUGAGUAUAAGCAGUCCAAAACCAAAUAGAAUGUUAAAAUGAAAAU
RNAcentral lists this long non-coding RNA (350 nucleotides) under Malus domestica (apple). RNAcentral describes it as "long non-coding RNA (MDOM_LNC012683)". The record is from RNAcentral. Lineage: Eukaryota; Viridiplantae; Streptophyta; Magnoliopsida; Rosales; Rosaceae.